RNAcentral lists this small RNA (37 nucleotides) under Propionibacterium ruminifibrarum. RNAcentral describes it as "Propionibacterium sp. JV5 CRISPR_Spacer". Lineage: Bacteria; Bacillati; Actinomycetota; Actinomycetes; Propionibacteriales; Propionibacteriaceae. The record is from RNAcentral.
CCCCACGAGCCGAGCGUGGUGUUGUCUCCGGCGUCGA